AUUGAACGCUGGCGGCAGGCUUAACACAUGCAAGUCGAGCGGAGAGAGGUAGCUUGCUACUGAUCUUAGCGGCGGACGGGUGAGUAAUGCUUAGGAAUCUGCCUAUUAGUGGGGGACAACAUUUCGAAAGGAAUGCUAAUACCGCAUACGUCCUACGGGAGAAAGCAGGGGAUCUUCGGACCUUGCGCUAAUAGAUGAGCCUAAGUCGGAUUAGCUAGUUGGUGGGGCAAAGGCCUACCAAGGCGACGAUCUGUAGCGGGUCUGAGAGGAUGAUCCGCCACACUGGGACUGAGACACGGCCCAGACUCCUACGGGAGGCAGCAGUGGGGAAUAUUGGACAAUGGGCGGAAGCCUGAUCCAGCCAUGCCGCGUGUGUGAAGAAGGCCUUAUGGUUGUAAAGCACUUUAAGCGAGGAGGAGGCUACUUUAGUUAAUACCUAGAGAUAGUGGACGUUACUCGCAGAAUAAGCACCGGCUAACUACGUGCCAGCCGCCGCGGUAA
Molecule: ribosomal RNA, 501 nt
Filed under: uncultured bacterium
Lineage: Bacteria
Description: partial 16S ribosomal RNA
Rfam family: Bacterial small subunit ribosomal RNA
Source: RNAcentral